UGAACAGGUGAAAAUAAAUGGCUGAAACUCUCAAAAUUGUUUAUAUUGUGAUCCUUUUGGGUUUCCUAUGUCUUGUUGUUGUUGACGGCAUAUCAGUUUUGGUGCGAUGUUAAAGUACUAGCGAUUGUUAUACAACAUUUAUGUUUGCUCCUGAAAGGUUAUACAAGUGCGUUAAAGGAUAUUGUUAUGAGGUGCGUGAAAGGUUAUUGUAAACACCUCAAAGUUGUUAAGAUAAGAUGAAAGACUUUUAUUUUCGACGAUGCAUAAUUUUGCUCAAAGAGGGAUUGCUCCCUCCUCCUCCCCUCAAUGUAUUAAUUUUUGAGGAGGGUAUGCAACUUCUUAUCUUAUCUUAUAUUACAAGAGGUAAAGACCUAUUAAUCAUACUUUUAAAUUGGAAACUAAUUGCCUAGUUUAUCAAUCGGGACGCAAACUUAUUGCUUCUCUAGGUCAUAGUGCUACAUUUAUUUUACACACUUAUGGUCUGUAUGUAUUAGACUUAUUUCGAGGUUAUGUAAAAUAAUUUAUGCAAAUAAAUAAAGUUUUAUGUAUUAUUCAUAAAUUUGUAAAGAUGUUGUCCUUAGCUUGGUUGAAAGCUAAAAAAGCUACUUUUGUGUUUGGUACUCAGCAGUGGUGGUCUUGCCCUCUUAUGUGUUUGGGUAUAGGCUGAUGUAGCUCUGUUGGGUUGUUUGUUUUGUUGUAACUCUUGGUUCCUGUUUGUAGUCUCUAUGGUACACCUGUUGAGGCAAAAUCCCUAAUUAAUUUUAAAGAUAAUAAACCAAUAUGAUUAAAGAA
Long non-coding RNA from Medicago truncatula (barrel medic), 792 nucleotides. RefSeq lists it as uncharacterized. NCBI's taxonomy places the organism in Eukaryota, Viridiplantae, Streptophyta, Magnoliopsida, Fabales, Fabaceae. The transcript is spliced from 3 exons. The record is from RefSeq and is a predicted model, not a curated record.